CGUAGGGUGCAAGCGUUGUUCGGAAUUAUUGGGCGUAAAGCGCGUGUAGGUGGCUAGUUAAGUUGGAUGUGAAAGCCCUGGGCUCAACCGAGGAAGUGCAUUCAAUACUGGCUGGCUAGAGGAUGGUAGAGGAAGGUGGAAUUCCAAGUGUAGAGGUGAAAUUCGUAGAUAUUUGGAGGAAUACCGGCGGCGAAGGCGGCCUUCUGGGCCAUUCCUGACACUGAGACGCGAAAGCGUGGGGAGCAAACAGGAUUAGAUACCCUGGUAGUCCACGCUGUAAACGAUGGGUACCAGAUGUUGCAGGAAUUGACCCCUGCAGUGUCGACGCAAACGCAUUAAGUACCCCGCCUGGGAAGUACGGUCGCAAGAUUA
Molecule: ribosomal RNA, 372 nt
Filed under: uncultured organism
Description: bacterial SSU rRNA
Rfam family: Bacterial small subunit ribosomal RNA
Source: RNAcentral